GAGUUUAUAGCUCAGUGGUAGAGCAUAUGGUCAUUGGUUCGAUUCCAAUUAAACUCC
This is a transfer RNA of Fonticula alba, 57 nucleotides long. It matches the Rfam family "tRNA". From Rfam's summary of the family: Transfer RNA (tRNA) molecules are approximately 80 nucleotides in length. Their secondary structure includes four short double-helical elements and three loops (D, anti-codon, and T loops). The record is from Rfam. NCBI's taxonomy places the organism in Eukaryota, Rotosphaerida, Fonticulaceae.